Molecule: transfer RNA, 73 nt
Filed under: Camelus bactrianus (Bactrian camel)
Lineage: Eukaryota; Metazoa; Chordata; Mammalia; Artiodactyla; Camelidae
Also listed under: 2 other names
Rfam family: tRNA
About the family: Transfer RNA (tRNA) molecules are approximately 80 nucleotides in length. Their secondary structure includes four short double-helical elements and three loops (D, anti-codon, and T loops).
Source: Rfam by way of RNAcentral
GAAGGUAUAGCUCAGUGGUAGAGUGUGUGCUUAGCAUACACAGGGUCCUUGGGUUCAAUCCCCAGCACCUCCA